CAGCAGUCUGACAGCAGCCUCAUUCUGUCCUAGGCCUCCUAACCUUUGAGACAGAGGCGUAACAGACACUGAUGUUGGAUAUUGAUCAAAGAUCACAGAAAGACUUCUGCAGCUUUAACAACAAUAUGGCGUCCCGGCGCCUCCAAGUAGGUUACGCAUGCGCCCUGCGUCACGCGUCACGCCCCCUGCGUCACGCACCCACCAAUCAGCUGAAGGAAUACCUGCAAGAACCGGAUUAUUCUCCGACUUCAUCCGGAUCCCCGAACCUCCAUCCAGCUCACCGGAAACCGGGUAUUGAGAGUUUGCUUGUUGAUCCUGAGGAGGAGUUUUCUGCUGAGAGUUUUCAGGUUGUGAUUGAGCUGACUGAAGGACUCAGUGAUUGUUGUCUGAUCUGAUGGUUUCAUGUUGAGCUCUGACUGUAGACAUCUACACUGUGAUUGUGUGUUUGUUGUCUGCUGGUUGUUAUUCCAGGGUUCAUGCAGUGUUUCUUGCUUUAGUAGCCUGAUGAGAAACAGAUGCAGACAUUAUUAAAUAUGCACAUAGUGGACAGGAGGAGUACAGUAUGGGGGGGGGUGGGGGCUCAUUAAACCAGCUGUUAUAAAACCUAUCAACUGUUUACAAAGAUUAAAGUUAGUGGUUAAACUACAGAGUUCCCUCUCUCUCUCUGGGACACAGGCUGUCUCUUAUCAUACAGUAUGUAUUAGUCCUUCUUUAAGUGUCCCAGUGACUCUGAGGAAGAGACAUCGGACGGACCUCUGGAGAGAGUUCAGUCCAGUCUAGAUUAUAAAAUAGACCUGAGCAGCUAGAGGUUGCUCUAGAAUGUGCAGGUCUGGCACAAUAUUAAUAUAAUAUUAAUAUAACAAUGUUUAAACAUACUGUACUUCAGAAGUGUAGAUGUGAUAGUAAAUCUUUCUCUGGGUCCUCUGGGGUUUACUUUACUGGUUCAAGGAUAAACUGGUAAAGUUCCAGACGUUUAGUAUUACCGUUUCAAACUUUCUUUUAAUUUGAUUUUUAUUGUUAUAAUGUUACUGAUAUCGAUACUGAACAUUACUUAAAUGGGUAUUUAGGAAAAGAGAAGAUGUAUUACAAAAGCAAAUAUGAGAACAAUUAAAUCACAAUGUUUGUGCCAGAAGGUGUGAAAAAUACUCAGAUUAAAUACGUCUCCUUAUCACUUUCAGGGUGUUUUGUUGUUAAAUGUUUGAAGAGUUUGUGUGUAUCACAAAAGUGCUCUGCUCGUUAUAGCUGUGAACGUAGCGGUGCAGUGUGCGUGAACAGUUUAGUUGAAUAAAUGCUACAACCCCUCAAGA
Long non-coding RNA from Sebastes umbrosus (honeycomb rockfish), 1307 nucleotides. RefSeq lists it as uncharacterized. The record is from RefSeq and is a predicted model, not a curated record. Lineage: Eukaryota; Metazoa; Chordata; Actinopteri; Perciformes; Sebastidae. The transcript is spliced from 4 exons.